GAUGGUGAGGGCAAAGCCGAGAAGAGACGAUUCAAUGGGCUCUACAAGGCAGUGUUCUGGUUGGAAGGCUCAGCAGGCUUACUCCUACUGCCUCUGCUGCUUUGGCUGGAAAGAGACCAGACCAACCAUGAGGGGUGCAUGGCACAGGGAUGGCGGGAGCUGGUCCUCUCACCGUGAGGAAGAUAUUGUGCUGAGACACUUAAGGUGAGGUUGGAAAGGAACAUGAAGAAUUUAGUGGAUGGGAGAGGUGACGGAGUCAAACAGUGGUGUGGACAGCUGACAACAGAGUCUGGCGAAGGACUGUCCUCUCAUAGCUGGGCAGUGAAUGCAAAGGGCUUUUUGUACAAGAAGGUUCCAUCCACUCCCUUUGGCUCUUCAUGGUCUUUCCUGUGGACAUUCCAGAAGAGUGCAGGAAGGUGACCUUGGGGGAAUCUGUGGUUCAUGUUGGAACACUGGACAUACCACAUAAUUGGAAAGAUGCCCUCUGGAAGCAUAACAAGGUGCAGCUCAACUUUUCGAAUGCUGGUAACAAGAACAUUUCCAUUUCCAAUGACUGCUUGUGUCCUGAAACUUUCCACCCAAAUAAUAACAGACAUUCUAGCUGUGACAGUCAUGGGCAGGGUACCAGGGUCUCUGUGACAGCCAUGGUCAUCCAAGUAGUGACCUGUGGGAGUCGAGAAAGUAAUUGGUUUCAAGACGACUAAGUAGCCAGUCUUGGUUCAAACUUUUGGAACCUGCCCCUGAGUUUUAGCUAUAUUUAAGAAAAGUAUAAUUUGGUAGAAACCUUUCCUUGUGAUAGUGAACUCAAUCUCGUGUGCACAAUAAAGCUUAAGAUGUG
Molecule: long non-coding RNA, 838 nt
Filed under: Mus caroli (Ryukyu mouse)
Lineage: Eukaryota; Metazoa; Chordata; Mammalia; Rodentia; Muridae
Description: gliomedin, opposite strand (MGP_CAROLIEiJ_G0004195.1)
Source: RNAcentral